AUACGUAGGUCCCGAGCGUUGCGCGGAGUCACUGGGCGUAAAGCGUCCGCAGCCGGUCGGGUAAGCGGGAUGUCAAAGCCCGCCGCUUAACGGCGGAACGGCAUCCUGAACUGCCCGACUUGAGGCACGCCCGGGCAGGCGGAAUUCCCGGGGUAGCGGUGAAUUGCGUAGAUCUCGGGAGGAACACCGAAGGGGAAGCCAGCCUGCUGGGGCUGGCCUGACGGUCAGGGACGAAAGCCAGGGGAGCGAACCGGAGUAGAAACCCUAGUAGUCC
RNAcentral lists this ribosomal RNA (274 nucleotides) under uncultured bacterium. RNAcentral describes it as "partial 16S ribosomal RNA". It matches the Rfam family "Bacterial small subunit ribosomal RNA", at positions 523 to 796 of the family's 1533-position model. The record is from RNAcentral.